GCCAGUGGCGACAGCAUGUUGAAUGCACCAGUUUCAAAUGUAUCACUGAAGUUAAACAAAGUUGAGUGUGGUUAGUGUCCGGAUGGAUGAUCAUCUGCUGGGCAAUCUUAUGCAGCUGGCU
Molecule: ribosomal RNA, 121 nt
Filed under: Diaphorina citri (Asian citrus psyllid)
Lineage: Eukaryota; Metazoa; Arthropoda; Insecta; Hemiptera; Psyllidae
Source: RNAcentral